RNAcentral lists this ribosomal RNA (848 nucleotides) under uncultured Bacillota bacterium. RNAcentral's name for it is "bacterial SSU rRNA". It matches the Rfam family "Bacterial small subunit ribosomal RNA", at positions 37 to 871 of the family's 1533-position model. The record is from RNAcentral. Lineage: Bacteria; Bacillati; Bacillota.
GGGGGGCAGGGGGCUAUCUGCAGUCGAGCGAUCUUAGGAGCCUGCUCCUGAAGGUUAGCGGCGGACGGGUGAGUAACACGUGGGCAACCUGCCUGUAAGACUGGGAUAACUUCGGGAAACCGGAGCUAAUACCGGAUAAUCCUUUCCCUCUCAUGAGGGGAAGCUGAAAGACGGCUCACGCUGUCACUUACAGAUGGGCCCGCGGCGCAUUAGCUAGUUGGUGAGGUAACGGCUCACCAAGGCGACGAUGCGUAGCCGACCUGAGAGGGUGAUCGGCCACACUGGGACUGAGACACGGCCCAGACUCCUACGGGAGGCAGCAGUAGGGAAUCUUCCGCAAUGGACGAAAGUCUGACGGAGCAACGCCGCGUGAACGAUGAAGGCUUUCGGGUCGUAAAGUUCUGUUGUUAGGGAAGAACAAGUACCAGAGUAACUGCUGGUACCUUGACGGUACCUAACCAGAAAGCCACGGCUAACUACGUGCCAGCAGCCGCGGUAAUACGUAGGUGGCAAGCGUUAUCCGGAAUUAUUGGGCGUAAAGCGCUCGCAGGCGGUCUUUUAAGUCUGAUGUGAAAGCCCACGGCUCAACCGUGGAGGGUCAUUGGAAACUGGGAGACUUGAGUGCAGAAGAGGAGAGUGGAAUUCCACGUGUAGCGGUGAAAUGCGUAGAGAUGUGGAGGAACACCAGUGGCGAAGGCGACUCUCUGGUCUGUAACUGACGCUGAGGAGCGAAAGCGUGGGGAGCGAACAGGAUUAGAUACCCUGGUAGUCCACGCCGUANACGAUGAGUGCUAAGUGUUAGAGGGUUUCCGCCCUUUAGUGCUGCAGCUAACGCAUUAAGCACUCCG